Molecule: ribosomal RNA, 504 nt
Filed under: Poikilolaimus oxycercus
Lineage: Eukaryota; Metazoa; Nematoda; Chromadorea; Rhabditida; Rhabditidae
Description: eukaryotic LSU rRNA
Rfam family: Eukaryotic large subunit ribosomal RNA
Source: RNAcentral
UGAAACACGGACCAAGAAGUCUAGCAUAUACGCGAGUCAUUGGGUGAAAAACCUAAAGGCGUAAUGAAAGUAAAGGCGGCUCGAUCCGCUGAUAUGGGAUCCGUGCAUGAGAGUGUGCGGCGCACCAUAGCCCCGUCCCGAAGGCUUGCCUUGGGGCGGAGGUUGAGCGCAUAUGCUGGGACCCGAAAGAUGGUGAACUAUGCCUGAGCAGGAUGAAGCCAGAGGAAACUCUGGUGGAAGUCCGAAGCGGUUCUGACGUGCAAAUCGAUCGUCUGACUUGGGUAUAGGGGCGAAAGACUAAUCGAACCAUCUAGUAGCUGGUUCCUUCCGAAGUUUCCCCCAGGAUAGCUGGAGCUCGUAAAUGCAGUUAUAUUCGGUAAAGCGAAUGAUUAGAGGAAUUGGGGACGAAACGACCUCAACCUAUUCUCAAACUUUCAAUGGGUAUGAAGUCGCGGUUGCUUAAUUGAACCGUGAUAGCGAAUGUGAGCUCCAAGUGGGCCAUUU